Molecule: non-coding RNA, 437 nt
Organism: Macaca mulatta (Rhesus monkey)
Lineage: Eukaryota; Metazoa; Chordata; Mammalia; Primates; Cercopithecidae
Source: RefSeq, a predicted model, not a curated record
AGAUUAUCCUGAACCCUGGUAGAGUGAGGAUAUAGACUUCGGGGUGACCGAAGAAUCAGACUAGGAAAAUGAAAAAGAUGUAUCAAAAUGCAGAAGCUAAGAUGGAAUAAGAAAAGAGCAAUGAUCAGCACCAAGCUCCUUAUGGAGAAAGAGCGGGUGAAAUAUUUUCUCAGCACUCUUCCUACAAGGCGAGACCCAGAGUCACCUUGUGUAGAAAAUCUUUCUAGUAUAGGACUCAACGGAAAAUAGAUUCCCCAGCUGCCCGUAAGAAUUCCUACUUCCAACCCACAGACUUCAAAUGACUGCAAGAACGACUUGACUGAGCCUGCAGAUAACUCUUAUCUGACCCUCAGGUGAUGUGAAUAUAUCAGACUAGGAAAGCAACGGUGAAAUCUUUGCAACUCUCCCAUCUUAAACAUCAGGUGAGAGUUCAUAGU